This 498-nucleotide ribosomal RNA is filed under the name uncultured eukaryote. Its description in RNAcentral is "SSU rRNA". It matches the Rfam family "Eukaryotic small subunit ribosomal RNA", at positions 513 to 1028 of the family's 1831-position model. The record is from RNAcentral.
AAUGAGGAUAAUUUACAACCCUUACCGAAAGCAAUUGGAGGGGCAAGUCUGGUGCCAGCAGCCGCGGUAAUUCCAGCUCCAAUAGCGUAUAUUAAAGUUGUUGCAGUUAAAAAGCUCGUAGUUGAAGUUCUGAUUGUUCGGGCCUCGCGCUUUAUAGCCGAGGAACCGACAGUCAUCCGCUUGCAAAUAUAUGUUCGCCUUUAACCGGGUGGCUAUAUGAGUAAGCAAUUUACCUUGAGAAAAACAGAGUGUUCCAGGCAGGUUUGUCCGGAAUGCAUUAGCAUGGAAUAAUAGAAUAUGACUGAAGUCGAUUUAUUGGUUUAAGGCUUUAGUAAUGAUUAAUAGGAACAGUCGGGGGCAUUGGUACUUGACAGUCAGAGGUGAAAUUCUAGGAUUUGUCAAAGACUAACAAAUGCGAAAGCAUUUGCCAAGGAUGUUUUCAUUAAUCAAGAACGAAAGUUAGGGGAUCAAAGACGAUCAGAUACCGUCCUAGUCUAA